CGGCAAGAGCUCAAAUUUGAAAGCUGGCCCCCUCGGGGUCCGCAUUGUAAUUUGCAGAGGAUGCUUCGGGAACGGCCCCCAUCUAAGUGCCCUGGAACGGGCCGUCAUAGAGGGUGAGAAUCCCGUCUGGGAUGGGGUGGCCGCGCCCGUGUGAAGCUCCUUCGAC
RNAcentral lists this ribosomal RNA (166 nucleotides) under Penicillium citrinum. RNAcentral describes it as "partial large subunit ribosomal RNA". It matches the Rfam family "Eukaryotic large subunit ribosomal RNA", at positions 99 to 261 of the family's 3401-position model. Lineage: Eukaryota; Fungi; Ascomycota; Eurotiomycetes; Eurotiales; Aspergillaceae. The record is from RNAcentral.